Molecule: ribosomal RNA, 207 nt
Filed under: uncultured bacterium
Lineage: Bacteria
Description: partial 16S ribosomal RNA
Rfam family: Bacterial small subunit ribosomal RNA
Source: RNAcentral
CACGUAGGCGGCAAGGUAAGUCAAAGGUGAAAGCCCUCGGCUCAACCGAGGAAUUGCCUUUGAAACUGCUUUGCUUGAGUCCGGGAGGGGGGAGCGGAAUACCCAAUGGAGCGGUGAAAUGCGUAGAUAUUGGGUAGAACACCGGUGGCGAAGGCGGCUCCCUGGACCGGUACUGACGCUGAGGUGCGAAAGCGUGGGUAGCAAACA